UGAGGAAUAUUGGGCAAUGCCCGCAAGGGUGACCCAGCAACGCCGCGUGGAGGAUGAAUGUCGUAAGAUUGUAAACUCCUGUUAGAGGGGAAGAAUAGUACCGGUUGGACCGGUAUAUGACUGUACCCUCAGAGAAAGCCCCGGCUAACUACGUGCCAGCAGCCGCGGUAAUACGUAGGGGGCAAGCGUUGUCCGGAUUUACUGGGUGUAAAGGGCGCGCAGGCGGGAUAAAAAGUCAGUGGUGAAAUCCUACAGCUUAACUGUAGAACUGCCUUUGAUACUUUUAUUCUUGAGUUCGGGAGAGAGAGACGGAAUUCCAGGUGUAGUGGUGAAAUACGUAGAUAUCUGGAAGAACACCAGUUGCGAAGGCGGUCUCUGGGUCCGACACUGACGCUGAGGCGCGAAAGCGUGGGGAGCAAACA
This 422-nucleotide ribosomal RNA is filed under the name uncultured bacterium. RNAcentral describes it as "bacterial SSU rRNA". It matches the Rfam family "Bacterial small subunit ribosomal RNA", at positions 355 to 774 of the family's 1533-position model. The record is from RNAcentral.